RNAcentral lists this ribosomal RNA (492 nucleotides) under uncultured bacterium. RNAcentral describes it as "partial 16S ribosomal RNA". It matches the Rfam family "Bacterial small subunit ribosomal RNA", at positions 29 to 507 of the family's 1533-position model. The record is from RNAcentral.
AGUGAACGCUGGCGGUAGGCCUAACACAUGCAAGUCGAACGGCAGCACAGUAAGGGCUUGCUCUUACGGGUGGCGAGUGGCGGACGGGUGAGGAAUACAUCGGAAUCUACUUUUUCGUGGGGGAUAACGUAGGGAAACUUACGCUAAUACCGCAUACGACCUACGGGUGAAAGCAGGGGAUCUUCGGACCUUGCGCGAUUGAAUGAGCCGAUGUCGGAUUAGCUAGUUGGCGGGGUAAAGGCCCACCAAGGCGACGAUCCGUAGCUGGUCUGAGAGGAUGAUCAGCCACACUGGAACUGAGACACGGACCAGAUUCCUACGGGAGGAAGCAGUGGGGAAGAUGGGACAAGGGGCGCAAGCCUGAACCAGCCAUACCGCGUGGGUGAAGAAGGCCUUCGGGUUGUAAAGCCCUUUUGUUGGGAAAGAAAAGCAGCAGGUUAAUACCCCGCUGUUCUGACGGUACCCAAAGAAGAAGCACCGGCUAACUUCGGU